Molecule: ribosomal RNA, 480 nt
Filed under: uncultured bacterium
Lineage: Bacteria
Description: partial 16S ribosomal RNA
Rfam family: Bacterial small subunit ribosomal RNA
Source: RNAcentral
GACGAACGCUGGCGGCGCGCCUAACACAUGCAAGUCGAGCGAUGAAAUUUUAACCGAUCUCUUCGGAGAGAAGAUAAAAUGGAUUAGCGGCGGACGGGUGAGUAACACGUGAGAAACCUGCCUUUCACAAGGGGAUAGCCUCGGGAAACCGGGAUUAAUACCCUAUGACACAUUUCCUUCGCAUGGAAGAAAUGUUAAAACUCCGGUGGUGAAAGAUGGUCUCGCGCCUGAUUAGCUAGUUGGUGGGGUAACGGCCCACCAAGGCCAUGAUCAGUAACCGGCCUGAGAGGGUGAACGGUCACAUUGGAACUGAGACACAGUCCAAACUCCUACGGGAGGCAGCAGUGGGGAAUAUUGCACAAUGGAGGAAACUCUGAUGCAGCGACGCCGCGUGAGCGAUGAAGGCUUUCGAGUCGUAAAGCUCUGUCCUAUGGGAAGAUAAUGACGGUACCAUAGGAGGAAGCCCCGGCUAACUACGUG